Molecule: long non-coding RNA, 1510 nt
Organism: Tupaia belangeri chinensis (Chinese tree shrew)
Lineage: Eukaryota; Metazoa; Chordata; Mammalia; Scandentia; Tupaiidae
Exons: 3
Source: RefSeq, a predicted model, not a curated record
GCAAACAGGCAAUUCAGAAAAGGCCCCAAACUGGCCACGCGUUGAGUGGGAUGAGAUCUUUGUUCCCACACCCCACUGGCCUGUCAAAUUGUCAAUUUGGCAGAAAUUUUUAAAAACGCAAACAAAACCCAGUACCACCUGUGAGAAUGUAAACUGCACUGAUAUGCCAUGGGCGAUUUUGCAGUUCUACCCAAAACCAGUGUGCGUAGGCUGACCAGUUACCCUGGGCACAGCCGUUGGUAUCAAUAGCUCCAGCAAUCUUCUGUCCAGGAAUUUGCCCUAGGGGGAAAGGCUAUGCAAAGGGCCGACUCCAGAACGUGUGCCGCGGUAUAAUUCAUGAUCUCCAAGCACUGGAAGCAACUUAAAUCUCCCAAACCAGAGGAUGUGUUCAAGUAUGGGACAUCUGUACAAUGGAAGAAUCGCAACUACAAUGGUGAUUCUUGAACCUGAACCACAAAGCCCAGAGAGAACAAUGCCUAGGCAUCCCACAUUACUGCUCAGAAAAAUCGUUGCCAUGCAGGAAGCAGUGUGAACGCUCAGUCGCGCGGGUGUCCAGUCUCAACCCCUCUGCCGUUGAAGCCACUUCUUACUCUGCGCUGUGUGGAGCCAGUUAGCCGCUACCAUCCUUCAGGAAAUGGCUCCUCGAGUCGGGAAUAACCCCUUGGCCUUUCCUUCCUUAUGCCGCCUCCUUCUCAUUUCGUUCCAGAUUUCUAUUUUUAUCCCUUUGAAUCUUUCGCAUUGUUUUCCUCCUGGUUAUCUGCUCCUUUUCCACAAAUGACACCCCCCCCGCAGGAGCACCCCGUGGUCAGGCCAGGUCCUACACCAGCUGCCCUGGCUUCCACCAGGCAUGUCCCUGUCCCGGCUCCUCCACACCUGCCUCUGGUAAGCUGCAGCUCCCUGCGACCCUUCCCAGGCACUUGCCAAGUGACUCUUGAUUUCGCUCCCAUUAAUUCCCAAGUUCCCGGAGGGAGUUAGGGAACUAGAUUUGCCCUAGCCCUGUUGCCUGGGUACAGUGUUUGUUAUACCAAAACUAAAAUUGCAAAUGUUUUCAACCAGCAAUUAGCAUCUUUAAUCAUACUCUGUCUGUGAUGGUUAGUUUGGGGUGUCAACUGGACUAAGGAACACCUAGGAAAGGCAUUACUGGGUGUGUCCACUGGGGUGUUUUCAGAAGAGAUUAACAUGGGAGUCUGGGCAGACUAGAUGUGGAAGACCCACCCUCAUGAUCCAGCCAACAGGGACCCAGAAGACAGGUCUCUCUGAAAUGGAGCAAGGCAGAUGUGUCCUGCAGCCUCGGACAUCAGAACUCAAGGCUCGUCUGCUUUCAGACUCCAGGGUUCACACCAGUGGCCCCGGGUUCUCAAGCUUUCAGCCCUGGACUGAGAGUUCCAUCAUGUCUGUCCUGCCUUCAGGUUUGGACAGAACCCCUCUACCAGCAUCCCAGGGUCUCCAGCUUGCAGACAGCCUGUUGUGGGGCUUCUCAGCUGCCACAAUCCCAGGACUGAGUCCCCCA